GGGAAUUUAGCUCAGUGGUAGAGCACUUGCCUAGGAAGCACAAGGCCCUGGGUUCGAUCCCCAGCUCA
This 68-nucleotide transfer RNA is filed under the name Rattus norvegicus (Norway rat). It matches the Rfam family "tRNA". Rfam says of the family: Transfer RNA (tRNA) molecules are approximately 80 nucleotides in length. Their secondary structure includes four short double-helical elements and three loops (D, anti-codon, and T loops). Further hydrogen bonds mediate the characteristic L-shaped molecular structure. tRNAs have two regions of fundamental functional importance: the anti-codon, which is responsible for specific mRNA codon recognition, and the 3' end, to which the tRNAs corresponding amino acid is attached (by aminoacyl-tRNA synthetases). tRNAs cope with the degeneracy of the genetic code in two manners: having more than one tRNA (with a specific anti-codon) for a particular amino acid; and 'wobble' base-pairing, i.e. permitting non-standard base-pairing at the 3rd anti-codon position. The record is from Rfam by way of RNAcentral. Lineage: Eukaryota; Metazoa; Chordata; Mammalia; Rodentia; Muridae.